Molecule: ribosomal RNA, 913 nt
Filed under: uncultured Brachyspira sp.
Lineage: Bacteria; Pseudomonadati; Spirochaetota; Spirochaetia; Brachyspirales; Brachyspiraceae
Description: bacterial SSU rRNA
Rfam family: Bacterial small subunit ribosomal RNA
Source: RNAcentral
AUGCAAGUCGAGCGGGCUUAUUCGGGCAACUGGAUAAGUUAGCGGCGAACUGGUGAGUAACACGUAGGUAAUCUGCCGUGAAGCGGGGGAUAACCCAUGGAAACAUGGACUAAUACCGCAUAUACUCUUGCUACAUAAGUAGAGUAGAGGAAAGUUUUUUCGCUUCACGAUGAGCCUGCGGCCUAUUAGCCUGUUGGUAGGGUAAUGGCCUACCAAAGCUACGAUAGGUAGCCGACCUGAGAGGGUGACCGGCCACAUUGGGACUGAGAUACGGCCCAGACUCCUACGGGAGGCAGCAGCUGAGAAUCUUCCACAAUGGACGAAAGUCUGAUGGAGCGACAUCGCGUGAGGGAUGAAGGCCUUCGGGUUGUAAACCUCGGAAAUUAUCGAAGAAUGAGUGACAGUAGAUAAUGUAAGCCUCGGCUAACUACGUGCCAGCAGCCGCGGUAAUACGUAGGAGGCAAACGUUGCUCGGAUUUACUGGGCGUAAAGGGUGAGUAGGCGGAUUUAUAAGUCUAAGGUGAAAGACCGAAGCUCAACUUCGGGAACGCCUCGGAUACUGUAAGUCUUGGAUAUUGUAGGGGAUGAUGGAAUUCUCGGUGUAGCGGUGGAAUGCGCAGAUAUCGAGAGGAACACCUAUAGCGAAGGCAGUCAUCUGGGCAUUUAUCGACGCUGAAUCACGAAAGCUAGGGGAGCAAACAGGCUUAGAUACCCUGGUAGUCCUAGCCGUAAACGUUGUACACUAGGUGCUUCUAUUUAAAUAGGAGUGCCGUAGCUAACGUCUUAAGUGUACCGCCUGAGGAGUAUGCCCGCAAGGGUGAAACUCAAAGAAAUUGACGGGUCCCCGCACAAGUGGUGGAGCAUGUGGUUUAAUUCGAUGAUACGCGAAAAACCUUACCUGGGUUUGAAUUGU